UGGGGAAUUUUGGACAAUGGGCGAAAGCCUGAUCCAGCAAUGCCGCGUGUGUGAGGAAGGCCUUCGGGUUGUAAAGCACUUUUGUCCGGAAAGAAAUCCUUGGCUCUAAUACAGUCGGGGGAUGACGGUACCGGAAGAAUAAGCACCGGCUAACUACGUGCCAGCAGCCGCGGUAAUACGUAGGGUGCAAGCGUUAAUCGGAAUUACUGGGCGUAAAGCGUGCGCAGGCGGUUUGCUAAGACCGAUGUGAAAUCCCCGGGCUCAACCUGGGAACUGCAUUGGUGACUGGCAGGCUAGAGUAUGGCAGAGGGGGGUAGAAUUCCACGUGUAGCAGUGAAAUGCGUAGAGAUGUGGAGGAAUACCGAUGGCGAAGGCAGCCCCCUGGGCCAAUACUGACGCUCAUGCACGAAAGCGUGGGGAGCAAACAGGAUUAGAUACCCUGGUAGUCCACGCCCUAAACGAUGUCAACUAGUUGUUGGGGAUUCAUUUCCUAGUAACGUAGCUAACGCGUGAAGUUGACCGCCUGGGGAGUACGGUCGCAAGAUUAAAACUCAAAUGAAUUGACGGGGUCAUAGCUGUUUCCU
This 584-nucleotide ribosomal RNA is filed under the name uncultured bacterium. Its description in RNAcentral is "partial 16S ribosomal RNA". It matches the Rfam family "Bacterial small subunit ribosomal RNA", at positions 355 to 1375 of the family's 1533-position model. The record is from RNAcentral.